Molecule: ribosomal RNA, 1093 nt
Filed under: Bacillus licheniformis
Lineage: Bacteria; Bacillati; Bacillota; Bacilli; Caryophanales; Bacillaceae
Description: bacterial SSU rRNA
Rfam family: Bacterial small subunit ribosomal RNA
Source: RNAcentral
GCAUUGACGAAAGUUGACGAGCACGCCGCGUGAGUGAUGAAGUUUUCGAUCGUAAACUCUGUGUAGGGAGACAGUACCGUCGAUAGGGCGGCACCUGACGGUACCUAACCAGAAAGCCACGGCUAACUACGUGCCAGCAGCCGCGGUAAUACGUAGGUGGCAAGCGUGUCCGGAAUUAUUGGGCGUAAAGCGCGCGCAGGCGGUUUCUUAAGUCUGAUGUGAAAGCCCCCGGCUCAACCGGGGAGGGUCAUUGGAAACUGGGGAACUUGAGUGCAGAAGAGGAGAGUGGAAUUCCACGUGUAGCGGUGAAAUGCGUAGAGAUGUGGAGGAACACCAGUGGCGAAGGCGACUCUCUGGUCUGUAACUGACGCUGAGGCGCGAAAGCGUGGGGAGCGAACAGGAUUAGAUACCCUGGUAGUCCACGCCGUAAACGAUGAGUGCUAAGUGUUAGAGGGUUUCCGCCCUUUAGUGCUGCAGCAAACGCAUUAAGCACUCCGCCUGGGGAGUACGGUCGCAAGACUGAAACUCAAAGGAAUUGACGGGGGCCCGCACAAGCGGUGGAGCAUGUGGUUUAAUUCGAAGCAACGCGAAGAACCUUACCAGGUCUUGACAUCCUCUGACAACCCUAGAGAUAGGGCUUCCCCUUCGGGGGCAGAGUGACAGGUGGUGCAUGGUUGUCGUCAGCUCGUGUCGUGAGAUGUUGGGUUAAGUCCCGCAACGAGCGCAACCCUUGAUCUUAGUUGCCAGCAUUCAGUUGGGCACUCUAAGGUGACUGCCGGUGACAAACCGGAGGAAGGUGGGGAUGACGUCAAAUCAUCAUGCCCCUUAUGACCUGGGCUACACACGUGCUACAAUGGGCAGAACAAAGGGCAGCGAAGCCGCGAGGCUAAGCCAAUCCCACAAAUCUGUUCUCAGUUCGGAUCGCAGUCUGCAACUCGACUGCGUGAAGCUGGAAUCGCUAGUAAUCGCGGAUCAGCAUGCCGCGGUGAAUACGUUCCCGGGCCUUGUACACACCGCCCGUCACACCACGAGAGUUUGUAACACCCGAAGUCGGUGAGGUAACCUUUGGAGCCAGCCGCCGAAGUGACAGGGA